CUACGGGCUGCUCCAGUGGGGAAUAUUGGACAAUGGGGGAAACCCUGAUCCAGCAAUGCCGCGUGUGUGAAGAAGGCCUGCGGGUUGUAAAGCACUUUCGGUUGGGAGGACUGCUUCUAGCACUAAUAUUGUUGGAAGUUGACGUUACCUUCAGAAGAAGCACCGGCUAACUCCGUGCCAGCAGCCGCGGUAAUACGGAGGGUGCAAGCGUUAAUCGGAAUUACUGGGCGUAAAGCGCGCGUAGGCGGCUAGAUCAGUCGGGUGUGAAAGCCCCGGGCUUAACCUGGGAACUGCAUCCGAUACUGUCUAGAUUGAUGACAAGAGAGGAGAGUGGAAUUACACAUGUAGCGGUGAAAUGCGUAGAUAUGUGGAGGAACACCAAUGGCGAAGGCAGCUCUCUGGCCUGCUACUGACGCUGAGGUGCGAAAGCGUGGGGCGCAACCAGGAUUAGAUACCCGAGUAUUC
Molecule: ribosomal RNA, 465 nt
Filed under: uncultured bacterium
Lineage: Bacteria
Description: partial 16S ribosomal RNA
Rfam family: Bacterial small subunit ribosomal RNA
Source: RNAcentral